Molecule: long non-coding RNA, 1425 nt
Organism: Spodoptera frugiperda (fall armyworm)
Lineage: Eukaryota; Metazoa; Arthropoda; Insecta; Lepidoptera; Noctuidae
Exons: 2
Source: RefSeq, a predicted model, not a curated record
AUCUAAUUUUCUUCUAAUUCCCUGAACCGAUUCAAUUAUGUGUUCCGAUUUAAAAUAGGUAUCAACCUUUUUGGUUCGCGGGAAUAAAAUCCUAGAUGACCAGCCCUAGUUGUCAAUAAUGUCAUCAUGAGCUUUUCCGUCAUCUCUGUAUUUAGGAAAAAUCCUAAUUUUUUACGAUAAAAAUAUUAUUAAUUGCUUUAAUGUGGUGUUGAAUUAUCUUUCAUUGGUAUCGUAACAGCGUUUGUAAGAGAGAAGAUUUAACGUGGCUUCCAGGUGUUUGUUAUUGUUGUGAUUAAUUGAGAAUUGGACUCGUCUCGAGUUUUCCUUUUGUAGAAAGAAUUUUCAGUAUUAUUCAUUAACCAUGGUAUCUGAUGCAACACAGGCUGGUUCAGGCAGUAUGCAUCGCCCUUUUACUAACUUUUUAAGCAAAGAAUUAACCAAAUAAUGGUAUAAUAUUGCACCCACAGAGGAAGUACGAAUUACCCCCAUGUGACGGUGGCUUGGUAUUUUAGUAAAAUAAAUAUAUAAUAAAAUAAAUUAAUUUAAAACAAGAUAAGUCGUUUUAUUUAUUCUUAAAAAUAACUACUUAAUAGUUAACACUUCUUUAGCAUUUACCCAGUCUCUAUAAAAACAUGGUAUAUACAUCUAUUAAUACACCUAUUCCCCGAGCAUGAUAUGGAAAUACCUAAGGGAGGCCUAUGUUUGGCAGGAAGCUGAUCUUCGGCAGAUCCAGUAGCGAAGGAUCACAAACAUCUAUAUGACGAAAAUUGCGCGGACGUAGGAGCAUUAAACUUGGUACACUUAUAGUUUAUGUGUAGGAGAAGUGCAGAACGCUAAUAUUUUUCAUAAAUAAUGCUUAUAAAGUACAUUAAUAAUCAAUAAAUAAAUAAAUCAAUAAAUAAAACAUUACACACACUACCAUGCAUAGUAGGGGAAGGUAGGGUAAUUGAGAACGGCGGGUAAUUGGGAACACGUAGAUAAGUCCCACUUCCCCUCCCCGUAUCCCGUCUCGCGGCCAUUCGAGGUAUGCUUCCCCCGCCCCUAAGUGCGCAAGCGACAGUGGGAACUGGAGGAUGCACGCAUCUUGACACGAUGAGGCGAGACGUUGAUGCAGCCAGACUGAACCAGACACCACCAGUUCAAAUAUCAGAUUCACAUGACCACGAUAAAGCUUUGGGCACAUGUGCAAUGCACUUCCAGAGAGACCAGCAAAGGUUACGUGUGUAAUAUGUGUCAUGAAAUGAAAAAAUAUUUUUUCCGUUAUAAGCAGACAGAUAAAUAAUGUUUUUAAGUUUUAAUAAAAGUUGAUUCCUUUUUUAAGAGAAAAUACUGUUUUUUGCCUUUUAAGUUAAGUGUUCCCAAUUCCCCCACCUUCCCCUAUCGUAUUUGACAAAACGUCAAAUUGACAGACAUUGCGAUGAUAUU